Molecule: long non-coding RNA, 848 nt
Organism: Xenopus laevis (African clawed frog)
Lineage: Eukaryota; Metazoa; Chordata; Amphibia; Anura; Pipidae
Exons: 3
Source: RefSeq, a predicted model, not a curated record
GGAGGCUCCAUUUUUUCAGUGGAUUGUAUGUCCAGCUUCCAACUCGUGCCUCAGAGGAAAUACACUGACAACUUCAAAACUUGACAAGUAAAAAAAAAAUUCUGCUCAUAAAAAGCAUCAGAGGGUUACUUGAAGGGGACCACCAACAGAAUUAGAUCUCAGGGACUAUGAGGAAGAAAUAUCAAACAUACUUGGACCAGACACAAUAACUGGCAUGGAAGGACAUUAUGAUACAUAUGUAACAGGGGCAACCAACACACAGGAACAACCAGCAACAACAUCAAAAAAUGCAUGUGGAGGAGGAAGAGCAAUGCCACCAAGCACUACCAAAUAAAUGUUGUAAGAAAAUGUUUUUAUUGAUGAGGUGUAAAAAAUAUCUUCUGAACUGAAAAGGCCACGUUCAAGCUUCAAUGGCUAUUUUCCUUUAACUUCCUGUUAAACAAAGUAUAACAUAAUUAUGGAUCAAAACCAUCUACUCAAGCAGCAAGAACUUUUUCAUCAACAAAAUAACAAUUCAUUAUUAAGUCUGGUACCAAACCAAAAUGUUAACUCAAGGGAAGGCAAACCUGUUGAUAUCACUAACCAAAACUCUUCUUCCAUGUUGAAUUCUCCUUCCUCAGCUAAUUGUAAAUUGAGCAGCCCUCAAUUUUGGGGCGGGGGCUUUCCCAAAUAAAAAAAACUGUACUGCUUUAUUUUAAUGCUCCUUCCUCAGCUACUUGAAAAAGGGGUGGCCCUUGAGUUGGGGGGUGCAUUUUCCCAAAAAAAAAAUAUAUUCCUGCUUGAUUUUGUGAUUUAUUGGUGGUGUGCAUUUGUUGACAAAUAAAACAAAAUCUUUUUAUGUAAAAAGC